RNAcentral lists this ribosomal RNA (155 nucleotides) under Cornus kousa. RNAcentral's name for it is "partial 5.8S ribosomal RNA". It matches the Rfam family "5.8S ribosomal RNA". From Rfam's summary of the family: 5.8S ribosomal RNA (5.8S rRNA) is a component of the large subunit of the eukaryotic ribosome. It is transcribed by RNA polymerase I as part of the 45S precursor that also contains 18S and 28S rRNA. Functionally, it is thought that 5.8S rRNA may be involved in ribosome translocation. The record is from RNAcentral. Lineage: Eukaryota; Viridiplantae; Streptophyta; Magnoliopsida; Cornales; Cornaceae.
GACUCUCGACAACGGAUAUCUCGGCUCUCGCAUCGAUGAAGAACGUAGUGAAAUGCGAUACUUGGUGUGAAUUGCAGAAUCCCGUGAACCAUCGAGUCUUUGAACGCAAGUUGCGCCCGAAGCCAUCCGGCCGAGGGCACGUCUGCCUGGGCAUC